RNAcentral lists this unclassified non-coding RNA (224 nucleotides) under fungal sp. RNAcentral's name for it is "partial internal transcribed spacer region". The stretch from base 1 to 46 matches the Rfam family "Eukaryotic small subunit ribosomal RNA", at positions 1786 to 1831 of the family's 1831-position model. Lineage: Eukaryota; Fungi. The record is from RNAcentral. RNAcentral also lists the same sequence under 1 other name.
AAGUCGUAACAAGGUUUCCGUAGGUGAACCUGCGGAAGGAUCAUUACUGUAACUGUCGAGGGUUGGCCUAGCCGACUCGUCACCGACAUUACCCCUGUUUUGUGUACCUUUGUUUCCUUGACAGGCUCGCCUGUCAAUUGGACCAUUUUCAACCACUUGUAGUAGUAGUUUGUGUCAGUAAAACUAAAUAUUUACAACUUUCAACAACGGAUCUCUUGGUUCUG